CGGGACGGGUGAGUAAUGUCUAGGGAAACUGCCUGAUGGGAGGGGAUACACUGGAAACGGUAGCUAAUACCGCAUAACGUCGCAAGACCAAAGAGGGGGACCUUCGGGCCUCUUGCCAUCGGAUGUGCCCAGAUGGGAUUAGCUAGUAGGUGGGGUAACGGCUCACCUAGGCGACGAUCCCUAGCUGGUCUGAGAGGAUGACCAGCCACACUGGAACUGAGACACGGUCCAG
Molecule: ribosomal RNA, 232 nt
Filed under: uncultured bacterium
Lineage: Bacteria
Description: partial 16S ribosomal RNA
Rfam family: Bacterial small subunit ribosomal RNA
Source: RNAcentral